UCUCACGUGCCUGUUGAAUUGAAUGUGAAGUUACGAGUAAUUAAAGUAAUUUAAUAGUCCAAAAUGAAUCCUGCAGAACAGGAAGACCAGGAUCGUGCAGUAAGUAUUUUGUUUAUUUAAUUUUGCAUGAAUUCUGAAGAUUCGAUCAAGUUAACUGCUUGGCGUCCAUGCGUUUAUUUUCAACGCCCGCCAGUUGUAAUUGUAGUUUGAUCGAGUUUGUAGUAACGUAGUUCUAGAAAUGUAGUUUUUUAAAAAAGAAAAUGCUUCAGGUUUAUAGAUCUAGCAGCGGCGGUAGCCCGGUAGGGGUGAACAAUCGAGCCUGCAGCAGUGACGCAUUUUGUUCGCUCGGCGGCAGGGCGGACAUUUUGUUAAGCCCAAUGGCUUGAUCAGUACCAAGCAUGAAUUCGAGCUUUCCUAAAUUGUAGAACCCUUUCAGACCGGAAAAAUAGCACCGUGCUGAUUUAAAAUGAUGUAUUCAAAUAUAUCAAAAAUCGACUAUUGUCGACAUGUCGACGUUUAUCGUUCUGGUCCGAAAGCUUUAUGUGGUCGUUACUUUUACACAUAAUGGCAUGGAGUACCUAGUCAGCAUGAAGCCUGGGAAAAAGAAAAAUUAUAAAGAAAUCGCGAUGAUUCAAUUUCGUUCAAAGAAGACUUUUGAAUAGUCGCAGUCCUGUUGUGGAAUUGCCCCUUCCUGCUAAAGAUACAGGGUCUAGUGUUGUAGUAACACCAGUGUCAACGUUAAAUGCCAGAUAG
Molecule: long non-coding RNA, 753 nt
Organism: Leguminivora glycinivorella
Lineage: Eukaryota; Metazoa; Arthropoda; Insecta; Lepidoptera; Tortricidae
Exons: 4
Source: RefSeq, a predicted model, not a curated record